Molecule: long non-coding RNA, 101 nt
Organism: Etheostoma cragini (Arkansas darter)
Lineage: Eukaryota; Metazoa; Chordata; Actinopteri; Perciformes; Percidae
Exons: 4
Source: RefSeq, a predicted model, not a curated record
CUGUUUGAGUGACAUGUUUCCCGACGGAACUGUGUGAACACUCUGUGCAACUGCUUUGAGAUAUGUUUUCUCUCGUUUUGUGGGUGUGUCUCUCGUUUAUU